RNAcentral lists this ribosomal RNA (431 nucleotides) under uncultured bacterium. RNAcentral describes it as "partial 16S ribosomal RNA". It matches the Rfam family "Bacterial small subunit ribosomal RNA", at positions 29 to 507 of the family's 1533-position model. The record is from RNAcentral.
AACGAACGCUGGCGGCAGGCUUAACACAUGCAAGUCGAGCGCCCCGCCAGGGGAGCGGCAGACGGGUGAGUAACGCGUGGGAACGUACCUUUUUGUUCGGAACAACUUCGGGAAACUGGAGCUAAUACCGGAUAAGCCCUAAUGCGGGAAGAUUUCUCGCCCAAAGAUCGGCCCGCGUCUGAUUAGCUGGUUGGUGAGGUAACCGCUCACCAAAGCGACGAUCAGUAGCUGGUCUGAGUGAACGAUCCGCCACACUGGGACUGAGACACGGCCCAGACUCGUACGGGAGGCAGCAGUGGGGAAUAUUGGACAAUGGACGCAAGCGUGACACAGCCAUGCCGCGUGAGUGAUGAAGGCCUUAGGGUUGUAAAGCUCUUUUGUCCGGGAAGAUAAUGACUGUACCGGAAGAAUAAGCCCCGGCUAACUUCGUG